Molecule: ribosomal RNA, 427 nt
Filed under: uncultured bacterium
Lineage: Bacteria
Description: bacterial SSU rRNA
Rfam family: Bacterial small subunit ribosomal RNA
Source: RNAcentral
UGGGGAAUCUUGCGCAAUGGGCGAAAGCCUGACGCAGCAACGCCGCGUGGAGGAAGAAGGCCUUCGGGUUGUAAACUCCUGUCAGGGGGAAAGAAGGCACCUGGGUUAAUAGCCCAAGGGCUGACGGUACCCCCAGAGGAAGCCACGGCUAACUACGUGCCAGCAGCCGCGGUAAUACGUAGGUGGCGAGCGUUGUCCGGAAUUAUUGGGCGUAAAGAGCGCGUAGGCGGCUUGUCAGGUCCGACGUGAAAUCCCGGGGCUCAACCCCGGACGUGCAUCGGAAACCGGCUUGCUAGAGUCUGGGAGAGGGAAGUGGAAUUCCUGGUGUAGCGGUGAAAUGCGCAGAUAUCAGGAGGAACACCGGUAGCGAAGGCUGCUUCCUGGAACAGUACUGACGCUGAGGCGCGAAAGCUAGGGGAGCAAACAG